Micropterus dolomieu (smallmouth bass) is the source of this 1281-nucleotide long non-coding RNA. RefSeq lists it as uncharacterized. The transcript is spliced from 4 exons. Lineage: Eukaryota; Metazoa; Chordata; Actinopteri; Centrarchiformes; Centrarchidae. The record is from RefSeq and is a predicted model, not a curated record.
CGCUCAGCAUGUGGGUUAAAGGUCAUUCGAGGGCCCAGCUUGUUCCUCACGGCCAAAACUCCACCGUACCAUUUUAAAUCGCUCGAAAGUUAACACAAAAGUUCAGGAGCUUACAAAGCGCAGCUUGCCCGGUCCGCCUUCUGGCCAGAACCCUGUCCUUCCUGGAACCGGAUCCAGCACGUCGCAGCAGUUUCUGUUUCUGCAGCUGGACGGAGGAAACAUUUACGAAGCUGACAGAGUUCCUGCUGAGUUUAGUUUAGUUUGUUGUCGUCUGAGCCGAGCGGGCGACCGAACACAAGAAGCUGGUUUGCUUUUGAUGAUCAGAAAACAAAUCAAUCUAAUAAAGCCAGAGGUCCGGAGCAACGAGGGGUUAAGAGUCCAGCUCAGGGACACGUCACAGUGGGAAUCAAACCCCGGUCUCUCACACCAGAGCCAUGUGUCUCAUCCACUGCACCAUCGCCACCCCACAAUAAAUCCAUCUAAUAAAUGGGCCAAAUGUUUGUCUCUUACUUUUAGUCCAGGUCGGGCUGGUGGAGUCCCGGAGACCGCCGCGUUCAGAGCCUGCUCCUCUUUUGGUAAAGAGGUUUAGAAGAUGUCGUGGACUCUCCUGGUCCAGGUGUUCUGCAGAUGUUCUGAACUUGUUGUCAGGGUAACCGUGUGGAUCAGCUUUAGAUGCUGCACUUCCUCAUUUUUUCAUCCCUUUCAGCAGUACGAAGAUGGCAGGACGGCGUUACUGUCCGUGAUGCGUUGACACGUCAGCGUGACGCAGAGAAGCAGAGCUCCAACCGUCUGGAUGAAAUCUGGCGGUGAUCAGCACGAUGACCUGCUCGCUGUGGGUCUGCUGAAGGAGAGCGAUGAACUUCAGCCUGGGUGUCCUGGGGGGUCAGAGCGUUCUGCAGAGACCACGUUGUGAUCAGCGGGACAUGAGCUCGGUCGUUUGCAUCAAGUACUACUAGCAGCAGGCUUAUGUGGGGACACUCCAUCUUUUCUGAGGACGUUGAAAAGGAUCUGACAGUUUGUGUUUCGGGUUGGAUUUGACAUGAAAUGCAGCAACACAGUGGAGUGAUCGCUGAUCUGGGAUCAUCACACUGCGGAGGAGUGCCGCCAAAUACAAUCUGCGGAAGUAAACCGGAAGUUGUCGUGAGAAGUGGCAGCAGCUAACGUUAGCCGCGGACCGACAACAAAGAUCCGAUCAGACUGUUAUUAUCGAUCAUCGGCCGCUUUCCUCUCAGGUCAGACGGCGUAAACAGAGCCGUUAAAGUCCCGCUGCGGUCCUUCUUU